CAGACAUAGAGGCGGGCUCUUGGUUCUUGCAUGGAAACGUUCAGGAUUCUUUCAAAGUUAGAGAACCAUAACUUUGUUUUUUACUCCUUGGUUCUUUUAUUCAUGUGAUUUAGCCUAGCAAGACUAAGUCACACAUGCUAACAGCCAGCUCAGAAUAGAUAUAAUGAUUUUAGAUCAAAACUCUGUGCAGAAAAAAAAAAAUCAUGGACUGAAAUAGGGGAUAUCAGGGCCAAGCAAACUCAGAUGCCUUAAGGAAAUAGCAAAAAUGGGUUCUUCCCUCUUCUGUGGACGGCCAGCGUGUUACAGCACCCGUGUGCAUGUGAGAUCUCUGCCUUUUAUUUUCAGUUACCCCCAAGUCUCCUAACCAAAGCGUCUCCUCCCUGAUGAGGGUGAUCACUGGCUACAAGCCUGGGGCUUCCACACCCAAGGUCUGGGAAGCUGCUCUUUCCGGAAGGGUGGUAGAGACCCUGGGAACCAGACCAGGCGGGCUCACAAAGUAUGAAGAGAAUGUCGGGAGAGGAAGUGGUGGCUCUGAGUCAGCACGAGUCAUCUGGUUCCAGUGACAAUGAAGACUGAGGUGUCUGCUUUGCAGUUUUUUUUUUUCUUUUCUUGUCUUUUUUUUUUUUUUUCCUAAUCAUGUGGACAUCUCUGAGAAUGAGGGGACUGGGUGACUUUGCAGUGUCUGCUUUCUAAGUUUCAAAGUGACUUUCCAGGCAAGCUGCGCAUAUCUUGGGAUCUUCACAGCACAGUGGCUGGGAAGGCAGGCGGACCCGUCUAUCAGCUUCUCCCUGACAUCCAGCAAGAAGCAGCUCAAGGGUUUAUCUUGGCUCACAGUUUGAAGGUCCGACUCAUCAUGGCAGGACUUGGCGUUGGGUCAGAUGCCCUGUGGCUGUGUCAUGUGGAAUGCGAGGCUGCCUGCUCAUAUCUCAGCAGAUCCAGAGGGGACAAAGAAGAAGGCCACACCCACACGACUUCAGGUGGGAUUCUUGCGGGGGCAGGGAUCGAGUCAAACCUUGGAAAUGACGUCAUUCUGAACUCAUCUGCCUUUAUCCAGAAGACUACCAAAGCAAACCAGAGGACCAGAGAACAGCAGCUGCUCUGGACAAAGAGGGGAGGACACCCACACCCACAUACCAAGUUCUGGUUGACUUCUACAGCAGAAGAAGCAGGAGACACAAGAAGAAGUCUCCGAUUUGACGGUCAGGAUCCCGGAGAAGACUCUCCAGCCACAGGGCUGAUCAUGGUGGCUUCUCUCCAGAUGGGUGAAACUCAGAGGGACUGAAAUAUAAGAAGAUCGAUGCCAGAUGUUGUUGUGAUGACAACCUGUUGGGUUGAAGGACCCCAGGAAGACACAGUCCAGAUUCACAGGGACAGAGCCACUCACCUAUUGUCACAUGCAGCACAGAAUAAUGCAGAGGCAUGGCAUCAUAACAAUUCCUGAAUGGUGCUUCUCAGAAGAUGGUACUUCUUGGGGUCUGGUACCUGGACUAGUGAGGCUUCUCAGGGGAUGGGACCCCAACCCAGAAUGACAACAUCACCUGAUAACUUCAUCUUCAUCAUUAUCAUCAUCAUCAUCAUUGUUGUUAUUCCUUUUGUUUUGUUUUGAGAUUGUAAUAAAAUUAUAUCAUUUCUC
Molecule: long non-coding RNA, 1633 nt
Filed under: Mus musculus (house mouse)
Lineage: Eukaryota; Metazoa; Chordata; Mammalia; Rodentia; Muridae
Description: myeloid RNA regulator of BCL2L11 induced cell death
Source: RNAcentral